UAACUUUCUCUUGACGUCUAUCUCUUUCUCAUCAUCACCAUUACCAUCUUAACUCUCCUCUCUUCCAAGAAUUUUAAACCUUGAUAUACCAAACAAAAAGAAAACUAAUCCAGAUAUGCAAAUGAUAAGAACCCUAAGCACAAGGACAAGAAGUCGUCGCAGCGGAUACGAGCGUGUAAGCGAUGAUUCCACCUUUAGCUUACUCGGAGCAAAGCUGAGGAGGUCAACUAGCGUUCCGUACUAUGCUCCAUCGAUAAGGCUUGGUGGAGACUUUCCUGUGAUCUUGGAAAAGCUUCCAAGCAAAAAACCAAAUAAAACAGUGGUGACAAGCAAGUUGAGCCAUCCGAUCUUUAGUUUAUUUGAUGGUUAUCGCCGCCGUAGCAAGAAGAAAGCAACGGCUAAGCCGGAGUUCUCUAGAUACCAUGAAUACCUUAAAGAAAGUGGAAUGUGGGAUUCAAGAUCUAAGACCAUCUUUACUGGGGAAUACUCUGUGAGUUACUCUCACAUUUGGACCCCAUUUGUGAAUAAAAAAUCCAUUUUUGAGUCCAUCAAGCAGAGUAUCGAUACUGUGGGAAGCCAUUGGAGCAACCGAUACUCUGCCUAAUAAAAUAUUAAAAAAACUCUUCUCUCUCUCUCAGUCGACGAAGCUUCAAGCUUUGGUGGAACCAAACCAACGGAAGAGGAUGCGAUUCUCGUCUCCUUCAGCUACAGAGAUCCUCGCUACUAAAAAAUCACUGAACCACCAGCGACUCGCAUCUCAUCACCAUCACUCUUAGGAAAAAAAACCGAUCGAAUGUAUCCUCCGCGAGUCACCAUCAAGGAUCUGCGUCUCAGACGCAUCUCCUCUCCGAGUCCGAACUCCACCGACGACAGCGAAUUAAACGGCAAAGAAGAAACCGAAGCAAGGAAGAACAAUACCAUAUAUCUCGUUGCAAAUGUCCGGAUUCGAACAAUGGAAUCAAAGCUCAUGCUUGUGGAUUAAGAAAUGUAGAAGCAGAGGAGUUACUUCAAACGACGUUAUAAGAGAUUGCUUCCAUACUUUAUGUCUGAUGGAACGUCAUCAAGCCGGUGCUCAAACCUUUAAGCCAGAAUCCUCUAGAUAUUAGUUUAUCCUGUAACAGAGAAGCUGGAUAAACUGGUGAAGACGUAGAGGAGGAAGUUAGUGAGUUGAUGCUCAUGGAGAUGAUUGUGGCAAAUGCAUUGUGUCACGUUUGCUAAGCUUCAAAUCCUUUCAUUGAAGCUUUUGUUAUUGUCGUUUAGUUCUUUCUCUCUGCAAAUAGGCAAUCUUGUACGUGCUAUGCUUCCGAAUGAGAUCAGUCCUGGACGUUCCUAGCUUUCGAUCGCAGCUUACACCAUUGUUGUCAGUUUUAUCUCACAAACUAGACCCGUUGAAGAAGUGCCAUCAAUUGGUAGUUUCUGAGUUCCGUAAACAAGCCAAAGCAGCUGGUCUGUUCAUUGUCUCGGAAGCCUGCAUUUUGAAUGGCCUACCCAAGUCUGAGCUCUCUCGUGAAAGGCUUGUUUUGUUCAUCCCGUUCGACCAGUGCUUGCUACAAAAAUCUAAAAGGUUCACUAUCUUAACUGGUACGUAGAUGAAGAGAAGCAGCAGAUUGUUAAGAUGGAUGGAGAAGCAGCAGCAGGUUCACUAUGCUAACUGUGAUGUUGUUUAUAACUCAAAGCCAGCUCGCCGGCGUCGGCCGUGAGUAUGUUCCAGAGUCCAGACCUUGUUAGAAGAUUGAUGCUUCUCAGAAUGUAUGUGAUGUUGCCGUAGUGGUUGCCAACAGGUUGCACUAUACAAGUUUAUAUAACUACAAAUCGAUGUUGGUUAUCUUAAUACUACUAUUUAGUAUUCUUUUCUGUCAUAUUAUAUCACUCCAGUGGCGGACCUACAUGCAGGAAAGAGGGGUCAGCUGACCUCCCCAAAUUUCAAAUUUUCCCUCAUUGUUAUGAGCAAAAUACAUUCUUGUGGGGUUAUAUAUAUCUCAGUAUCAAUUUUCAUAACAAAGGAUUCCUGAUCAGCUGGAAGAGAAGAGAAGGAAGAGUGAGAUGAGGAGAGUCCAACUGGUAACCCCCUUCCUAUCCAAAAUGAACCACAUAUGAAAAGAG
Non-coding RNA from Camelina sativa (false flax), 2103 nucleotides. The record is from RefSeq and is a predicted model, not a curated record. Lineage: Eukaryota; Viridiplantae; Streptophyta; Magnoliopsida; Brassicales; Brassicaceae.